This 73-nucleotide transfer RNA is filed under the name Mus musculus (house mouse). It matches the Rfam family "tRNA". Rfam says of the family: Transfer RNA (tRNA) molecules are approximately 80 nucleotides in length. Their secondary structure includes four short double-helical elements and three loops (D, anti-codon, and T loops). The record is from Rfam by way of RNAcentral. Lineage: Eukaryota; Metazoa; Chordata; Mammalia; Rodentia; Muridae.
GAACCUUUGGCUCAGUGGUAGAGCACAUGCCUCAGACACACGAAGACCUAGGUUUAAUCUCUUGUAUGGUUUU